UUGACUUCAGUCUGACUGUGGGUAAAAUACAUUUCAGGAAGGCUGAAAUUGGUGUCAUCUGACAGCGGACAAAAUACAUUUUGGGAAGGGGGAAAUUGGCCUACAAGAAGUCAGCAAGUCUCAUUUCUCUUUCAUUACCUGAAGGCUGGCAAUGGUUGAAUUCUCCCUAGCAAAGUAACUCCUAGAAUUAUAUUUCCUUUUCCAAUUUGUUCAACAUAUCCUUACUAAUGUAAUCAAACUAGCACACUGCAGAUGCCAACCUCUGGAAGGUAACACAUACUAAAAGAGCAAUUUCCAAGAACCUUGUUAAUCCACUUCUUUUGCACCAAACACUCUGCAAAUGGAGCUAACACCCCAAGUAUUUUUUAUUGAUAAGAACAAUUUAUGAUCGAUACAAGACAACCUCUGGACAGUAACACCUACUAAAAUAUCAAUUUCCUAGAUCACUGCUAAUCCGCUUCUUUUGCACCAAACACCCUGCAUAUGGAGCUAACAAUCAAGUACUUUUGAUUGAUAAGAACAUUUUAUGCACUGAACACUCAAUAUGACCCAACCCAAAAAAUGAGAGGAUCGCACCCUCCGGAAAUUUAUGAUCCCGACAUCUGUAACGCACAGAGCACAAUAAUAAUAUUCAUUGACAAUAACUGAAAAUACAUCCCAUCAAGUGUCAUCAUUAUUACUGGAGUAAACAUCUAACUAUACUUUUAUUAAAUAUCAUAUAACAAUCUUCACCUUGCUAGAAUCGAACACUUCUCAAUCCAUAGUUCCCCAGCUACGGAUCAUCUGAAAUAUGUAAUUUUCAGAUCGAUAGGGAUUAUCUUAGUAGAAACAAGAUGUCAAGAAAUCUAGUUGUCUCAUGCAAUCAGCAAAAGAUAAGAAUAAUAAUGAAAAAAGAGUAUAACUUAGAAUAAAAGAUCUCACAAAUUCAUCAUGAGAAAAGCACAUCCAUUAGUGCACUUUGCUGCAUCGGAACUCGUCCGACUGCUCAGGAUGAAGCAACCUCCUUAUAGACUAAAUUCAUAUCACAUUCCCUGCUAUUAGUCCAUUACUAGGAUCAAGUGGUGCCCGGCAACAGUAGAAAUACGUCUUUCUAUGGAUGCAAGGAAUAUCUUAUAAGCUUCUAUGACGACUACUAAUCCCUUUCAAAAUUGCCUACUAAUCAUGACAAUGUUGUUCAAUCAUCCAUAUAUGUAUAUAUCAACAUGCUGCACAACCAUGCAACAACAUCCUUUCACAUGCUCAAGCGUCCAACUUAUGCAUCAUGGCACUUCUAACAAAUAUUAAUUAUAGGCUACAAUAGAGGCAUCAAUAUAAAAUUGAUUGCCAAAAGAAAUAUGAUCUAAUAACAGCAUAUUAAAAUUUCAUCAUGUCAGCAUAAAGAGAAUCUAGGUUUUAUGAGGCACCUAACACUAUAUUGAUCAUCCAAAUUGGAUACAGAGUCCAAAAAAGUUAUUAUUGAUUUACAAUUCAGUCCUCAAAAUUUACAAUCAUUUCUUCAAUACAUUGCAAACCAGUCCCUAGCAGUCUUAAUGGGCAGGACCUUAGGCAGCCACGUGGAACUUGGUCUCACAGGCAGGACCACAUGGAGUUGGCCUGUCUGAGCUGAAGUGCAUGAAGUUUAGACCACCCCCGUACUCAAAUGCUUAAAUUGGUAAAGGACAACUUGUACAUUCCAGUGCUUAAAUUGAGAACAAAACAUUGGCAAUACGGAAAGUGUGGUUUCCUUCAUAAAUCUAAGAGUUUCAACUUCAUUCUCAAGAAGACGGUCAGCUUCAAACUAUCAUGGUGGAAACCUGGUAUUCAUUAAGGUUUUGCAUUUAUAAAGAGAGAAAUUUCAACUGAAUUGACCGAUCAGCAAGAAGAAAGAAGUGGUUCAAACUAAUCACUUAAGAAAGAGAACAAAAUUUGAUAAACAAAAUAUACAAAAAAUUGAAACCCAACCUCAUUUCCCUUUUUUGGGUUUCGGGUUUGGUUUUGGAAUGGAGGGACUUUAGUAAAUUUAUAUAAAAGGUGACCAACCCUUGCCCUAAAUCAAAAGCCUCAUCAUCCAGCUCAAAAUCACCAAAGCAUCCAACCAUACCAUCCAAAAGAAUCCUACUUCUUAUCAUUUGAAAAAAUUAACCAAAACUCGAAACCUAAAUUACCAAAUAUCCGAAGUCAAAUCAAUUCAAAACUUCAGGUGUCCAAUAACCUACAUAAGUCUGAUAUCUUCCAGUAGACUUAAAACAAAUAGGACAAGAAUAACAAUUCUAUGUGGCGUCUACACAAGUGAUUAUAAACAAGCAAUUAACUCUAUCGGCAAUUUCAUCACAAAUCUUCUCAACAUUCUUCAUUUUCUUACUACGUGUAAGCAUCCAAACUCAUAUUACAUUCACAGAAACGAAGUAAAUGGCAGGAAUUAUUUGGUCGCAAACUGUAGAUCAUGUUAUGCGGAUAGUGGAAAAUUGGAACCUGGAAACAUAACUUGCUGGUACAAAAGCUUGUGCUAUGCAUUAUGCAUUUCCACGAUCAAAUGCAGUGAUGUUUUUGGGGACUCCAUUAUACAACUCAAUGAGUUCUGGAUACUCCUUGUAGCGGUUGACGAACUUCUCCACAAAUUUCUUCUCUGAAUAUUUCACGUAUGUAGACAUACUAAGGUUACUGAUGCAAACUCCCCUAGACUUCAGGCCUGUCACAAUCUGAUGCCUUGGCAUCAACCUUUUCUCCAAACUGCACAACAAAAUAUCUGGCCGAAGUGCAAUAUGAGAUGGAGCACAUCCGGCUUCAUUUACCAAGAACUCCAACUUCCUCUGCAAACUCUUUAAAGAAAUUUGCACAAACGUAGGAGCCUUUCUGAAUGCAGCAAGGAAAUCAUCCUCGGACCACCCGAAGCCCUCGAAGAACUCCAAGUGAGCCUUGAAGUUAUUCUCGGAGACGUUGUGGAGCACAGUCAGGGUCAAGGGGAACAUCCCUGAGGUGCAAGCUACUCCCAAACCCUCGGCACGACUGAUUAACGCCUUCAGGGUUUCAGCAUUCCGGGUUAUGAGGAGAGGAUAUUGCCUUAGGAUCAUUGAGAGCUUCUGAUCCGUCAUCCCGCAAUCCCUUAGAAUUUCAAUGUUAGGCUGGAUCGUCUUCUCGAUGCUAUACCCGAGAAACCUCCUGUUUUUCUUGCACAAGUUCAUCAGUAAGUCGUUGGACCCGAGGAGGCCUUGCCAUAAUUGGAUCUUGGACAAGAUGGUCUGGGAUUUGUCGCUGAUGACGUCGUUAUUCGAUCUGACGAGGUGGGUGAUGUCGGAGCAGGAGAAGCCCAGAUCCUGCAAAGCUCGGAACUUUGGGGCCAGGGUCUUCUCCACGUCGAGGAGAAGCCACCGGGGGUUUGCAGAUAUGACCUUUUUCACCUGGGUGUUGUCAAAACCGUAGCUUUUAAAAAAGCCAAGGACGGAGUCAGGCUGGUGGCGGGAUUCGACGCGACCAAGGAGCUUCGAGGCUUUGGCCGCCUGAUCAGGAUGGAAGCCACAGUAGCUGACCAGGUAUUCAGCCAUAAGGCUGCUCUCUGGAGCACCGGAGGCGGCGGAAUAAGAAUGGGUUGCGAGAAAAAGGGCAGCAUCGGCCGGACGACAGCAAGGGACGAAUGCAAGGGCUUUGGACAAGAGAGAGACGUAGGGCGACCUAUUCAUCAAUGUCAUCGUCUUCUUCUUCUUCUUCUUCUUCUUUGUAGGUUCCUUCUCUUUACCAAAACCUAGCGAAGGUGGCGUAGCUGCGUAUAGAGGAGCGCGUUUUGGCCGGAAGUACCUGCGUCUUAAACCCUAGAAGUGCGUUACCGUGUUCGACAUUUUUUUUUUCUGGCGGAGAUUACUGCGACCGCAGGAGUCUUUUUUUUCUUUGUCAACUUUUAGUUUGUUGAGGGGAGAAACAACUUUUAUUGCGUGCCAACUAAAGAUAAUAAAAGGUGUUCUUUUAGAAAAAAUUUGCACUAUUAUUUUUUUAUCUAGGGUUUAUUUUUUAUAGUUAGAACAAAAAUAUACCCUUAAUCUUCUAUUAAAAAUGACUUGAUCAGCUAUUAAAAAAUUGAUAUCAAAAAUUUUUAAAAAAAUAUAAAAAGCUAUGCUAAUCAUUUUAAAAUCAAUAGAUAUGCAUCGAAGAUGAUUAAUAUCUAUUUUUAUUUUAAAAAUUUUUAUAAUUAAUUAUCAAAUUAUAAUUUAUUUAAAUAAUAUCUAUGAUUAAGUCACAUAAGUUAAAAUAUAAGAGUGUUUUUUGUCUAAAUAAAAAUACCUAAAUAAAAAUGAAUAUGGAGGGUUUCAUCGAUAAGAAAACUAAUACUAUAAAUUAUUUUUUUAUAAAAGACCCGACAUACAUGAAUGAAUGCUAGAAAACAACUAAUCCAUCAUAAAAUUUGAUGAACUAAUACAUAUGUAUUCUAAUUAUCAAGUUAAAGUCAACAAUAAAAAAUUCAUGUAAUCUUUAAUGCCAUCAUAACCAUCAACUAUUUAUGAUGUGAAUGGCAAAACCGCUCAUUGUUCACUUAAGAAUCUACUCAUUAGAUUUUCACUAGAUAGAGAACAGACAACAACUCGUAAACAUGUCAACUAUCUUACUAGAAACAUACACUAUCUAUGAAACAAUGCCCAAGGCAACUUCUAUCUAGAAAUUAAUAAUAAUUAGAUGAUCAUGUUCACACUCAAAAUAGAAAGUCAUUCAUCCUAUAAUCAUUAACUUAUUAUAUCCAUACCAAGAUUAAGAAAGUAUCCCGAUGAUUAACAUUGAUUUAGAUUCGAUUAUAUUUGAUUUAACAUAUUGACAAAUAUUGUAAUUGGUAUAUAUAUCCUUCGACGGAAUCAAAUAAUUUGGGUAAUAUAUCUCACGGCUAAUUCUCACUCUUUAUUAUUUUUCAAUAUCGAAAAAUUAUUCUGUCAGUUUAAGGGAUAUAUACUUGAUCUAGCUAGCUCUUUAUACAAAGUAACUCAAAAUCUCUUUUCAAUUUAUCAUCUCAAAAUUAUUAGAAUACAUGACUCUUUAUAAUUGAAUAAGAUAUAUAAUAAAAUUAAUUAGAUUUUAAUGACGAAUAUUAGUCAAUAGAAAGAAAUAUCAAAAUAUGUGCCAAGUGAGAGAAUAUCUUAUAAAUUAAUGGGCUAAGUGAGAGAAUAUCAAAUAUGUGACCCUUUAUAAUUGAAUAAGAUAUAUAAUAAAACUAAUUAGAUUAUGAUAAUGGAUAUUAGCCAAUAGAAAGAAAGUUUAUAUUAUAGUAUGAUUCCUUAGGGGGUGCCCUUGAUGGGAGGAACUCUCUUAAUUAUUUAUCAUAGACUCUCUACUCUCGUCUAUAAAUAGAUGGGACCUCAUAGGGACUAAUGACAUGAUGUUUAUAUGAUGUAAUGGUCAUGAACACAUACACGAGAUACAAUAUGUGACAAUGAGAGAUUACGAUUCCUUUCUCAUCCUCUCUUGUCUCUGAACCAUUAAUAACUAUAAUCUUGUGAAAAGGUAGAAAGAGAUGAGGAGUGUUUAGUUCUCCUUGUAGAUCGACAUUUGAUAUAAACGAUUUUGCCCCACACAAACUCAUCUACCACUAAGGCCAACACCUAUGGAGAGUUUCAGGUCAUUAGCUUCGAAAUGGCACCAUAGUGUCGAUAACCAUCCUACUUUAUUAAGAUCAAAGAAUAAUCAGGUGAUUUUGCUAAUCUUAUCCAAGGCCAACCAAUAAAAGGCCUAGGGAUCAAGUAUAAAAAGGAACUCAUUAACUCACGCUGAGAGGGGGGACUCUCUAUACACUAACCUAGUCAUACAGCUUACACUACUAUCUUUCCCCUUUCACUGACUUAAGCAUCGGAAGGAAUGCGUUGGGCAACCCCUAAUGCUGGCCUAUCAUGCAAGAUUGCUGACGGUCAAGUGAUGAUCGGACCCAAUCCUUGUCAAUAGAACCUCGUAAUCUUUAAUGCCAUCAUAACCAUCAACUAUUUAUGAUGUGAAUGGCAAAACUGCUCAUUGUUCACUUAAGAAUCUACUCAAUAGAUUUUCACUAGAUAGAGAACAGACAACGACUCGUAAACAUGUCAACUAUCUUACUAGAAACAUACACUAUCUAUGAAACAAUGCCCAAGGCAACUUCUAUCUAGAAAUUAAUAAUAAUUAGAUGAUCAUGUUCACACUAAAAAUAGAAAGUCAUUCAUCCUAUUAUCAUUAACUUAUUAUAUCCAUACCAAGAUUAAGAAAGUAUCCUGAUGAUUAACUUUGAUUUAGAAUCGAUUAUAUUUGAUUUAACAUAUUGACAAACAUUGUAAUUGGUAUAUAUAUCCUUCGACGGAAUCAAAUAAUUUGGGUAAUAUAUCUCACGGCUAAUUCUCACUCUUUAUUAUUUUUCAAUAUCGAAAAAUUAUUCUGUCAGUUUAAGGGAUAUAUACUUGAUCUAGCUAGCUCUUUAUACAAAGUAACUCAAAAUCUCUUUUCAAUUUAUCAUCUCAAAAUUAUUAGAAUACAUGACUCUUUAUAAUUGAAUAAGAUAUAUAAUAAAAUUAAUUAGAUUUUGAUGAAAACUAUUAGUCAAUAGAAAGGAAUAUCAAAAUACGUGCUAAGUGGGAGAAUAUCUUAUAAAUUAAUGGGCCGCCUCCGGUGCUCCAGAGAGCAGCCUUAUGGUUAAUAAAAACACUAUACGUGCUAAGUGGGAAAUUCCUAUGAUGGCUAAUAAAAACACUAUAAUAAACUAAUUUUACUCUUAUUUGGAUGAUAUUAUUGUUAAAUUAUUUUAAAUAUAUGAUAUAUCAAAUGGUUUGUAGUAUGUUUGGAUUUCUCAGUUAUAGUAUUUUUUAAAUAACAUUAUAGUGUUUUUAUAAGGUGUAAAGCAAUUGAAAAAUCUUUGAUUAUCGUUGAUCGUAAAUGUGUAGUUAGUUUGACUGAAUCUAUUCGGGUUAUUUAUAAUAUUUUUAUUAUGAUAAUCAAAAUACUAUAAAAAUUAAUUUUUGAUUCUCAUUUUGAUGACCAAACUAUUGUGUAAAUCAUAUAAAUCAGAUCAUGCUACUGUACAAACCAAUCCAUCAACUUGGAUUCAAACACCGAUAUAUCGGUCUAUAAGGUAUCUAUGAAACUAGUGGGAAAAAUAUCAUUGAGGCUGGUAAGAAAUACUUUCAGUAUUAUUCAAAAUAGAAGGUAUCAUUUGAGAAAUAUGAGACAUCUUUUAGGAAAAUAAUAAUAAAAAAAGUGAGACAUCUUCGAAAUCACCCGAAAACUUUUGCUCACUUGUUUACUAGGGUCUUCUAGACUUUGCAGCAUCAAGAGAGUUCCUCUCCUCCGAACUCCUGUUUACCUAACAUCUCUACGAUGAUCAACAUGCGUUAGGGUGCAAGUCAACUAAAACUUCCCUUGAUCCCGAUAACUCAACAAGAGUAAGCAGUGCUUCAGUUUAAUUUGACCAAGUACGUGCCUGCCAGAGACACUGCAGUUAAUUCUACAAGGCCAAUAAUGUAUGAAUACAUAAGAAAAAGCUCAACGCAAAAGAUUGGAAGAUUAUUUUGAUGUAUUUGUACAGAGAAAACAAUACAACAAAGUCUUUAGAAAAGGAACACACCAAAAGAUUAAAAAUAGGACGAAUGGCUGAGACUAGCAUGCUAUACUAUAUAAGAAUCUGGAGAACCAAGGGUGGAAUCAAAUUCGAGAUUACAUGUUGCUAUUAGGCAAUAAAUUUAGAGAUGCUCUAUUGUCACAUUGAAGCACAAGUUUGUAACAUAAAAAACAACCUGCAUAAUUUGACAUAUUAACUAGACUUCCAGAUCAACUUUUUGUUUGAUAGCUAUUACAGCUUUGACAAAAAUAAGACACCGAACAAAGGAUGCAAAAGAAACAUAUAGUAGCAAAAGCCAAAAAAGUUGAAAUGUGGAUUUUCAUAGUACAUAAACCAGUAUAACUACAUAUCAUAAAUAUAACCAAAGAUUCUAACUGUUAGAAAUAUCUUGACUUCAGUCUGAGUGUGGGUAAAAAACAUUUCAAGAAGGCUGAAAUUGGUGUCAUCUGACAGCGGACAAAAUACAUUUUGGGAAGGGAGAAAUUGGCCUACAAGAAGUCAGCAAGUCUCAUUUCUCUUUCAUUACCUGAAGGCCGGCAAUGGUUGAAUUCUCCCUAGCAAAGUAACUCCUAGAAUUAUAUUUCCUUUUCCAAUUUGUUCAACAUAUACUUACUAAUGUAAUCAAACUAGCACACUGCAGAUGCCAACCUCUGGAAGGUAACACAUACUAAAAGAGCAAUUUCCAAGAACCUUGUUAAUCCACUUCUUUUGCACCAAACACUCCGCAAAUGGAGCUAACACCCCAAGUAUUUUUUAUUGAUAAGAACAAUUUAUGAUCGAUACAAGACAACCUCUGGACAGUAACACCUACUAAAAUAUCAAUUUCCAAGAUCACUGCUAAUCCACUUCUUUUGCACCAAACACCCUGUAAAUGGAGCUAACAAUCAAGCACUUUUGAUUGAUAAGAACAUUUUAUGCACCGAACACUCAAUAUGACCCAACCAAAAAAAUGAGAGGAUCGCACCCUCCGUAAACUUAUGAUCCAGACAUCUGUAACGCACAGAGCACAAUAAUAAUAUUCAUUGACAAUAAUGGAAAAUGCAUCCCAUCAAGUCUCAUCAUUAUUACUGGCGUACACAUCUAACUGUGCUUUUAUUAAAUAUCAG
RNAcentral lists this long non-coding RNA (8634 nucleotides) under Musa acuminata (dwarf banana). Its description in RNAcentral is "long non-coding RNA (MACU_LNC001704)". The record is from RNAcentral. Lineage: Eukaryota; Viridiplantae; Streptophyta; Magnoliopsida; Zingiberales; Musaceae.